RNAcentral lists this ribosomal RNA (328 nucleotides) under uncultured eukaryote. Its description in RNAcentral is "partial 18S ribosomal RNA". It matches the Rfam family "Eukaryotic small subunit ribosomal RNA", at positions 1470 to 1796 of the family's 1831-position model. The record is from RNAcentral.
CCCUUAGAUGUUCUGGGCUGCACGCGCGCUACACUGAUGCACUCAACGAGUUUCUGACCUUGUCCGAGAGGAUUGGGUAAUCUUUUUAAAAUGCAUCGUGAUGGGGAUAGAUUAUUGCAAUUAUUAAUCUUCAACGAGGAAUUCCUAGUAAGCGCGAGUCAUCAGCUCGUGCUGAUUACGUCCCUGCCCUUUGUACACACCGCCCGUCGCUCCUACCGAUUGAGUGGUCCGGUGAGGCUUUGGGAUCUGAGCGGAAAGAGCGUUUCGCUGUUUCUGCUCGGAAAACUCAGUCGAACCUUAUCAUUUAGAGGAAGGAGAAGUCGUAACA